RNAcentral lists this small nuclear RNA (134 nucleotides) under Stegastes partitus (bicolor damselfish). RNAcentral's name for it is "U1 spliceosomal RNA (ENSSPAG00000005671.1)". It matches the Rfam family "U1 spliceosomal RNA", at positions 30 to 166 of the family's 166-position model. From Rfam's summary of the family: U1 is a small nuclear RNA (snRNA) component of the spliceosome (involved in pre-mRNA splicing). Lineage: Eukaryota; Metazoa; Chordata; Actinopteri; Pomacentridae. The record is from Rfam by way of RNAcentral.
AAAUUGAAUUGGUUCACCCAGGGCGAGGCCCAGCCAUUGCACUCCGGCGAACUGACCCCUGCGAAUUUCCCAAAUGUGGGAAUCUCGACUGCAUAAUUUAUGGUAGUGGGGGACUGCGUUCGCGCUCUCCUCUC